Long non-coding RNA from Salarias fasciatus (jewelled blenny), 100 nucleotides. RefSeq lists it as uncharacterized. The transcript is spliced from 3 exons. Lineage: Eukaryota; Metazoa; Chordata; Actinopteri; Blenniiformes; Blenniidae. The record is from RefSeq and is a predicted model, not a curated record.
UUUUCUGUGUACGUCCUUCUUCAUUGCUUUUGCAUGAUAAUGAGGUGCAUUUGUGUAGAUUUAUAUGUUUGUAUGUAUGCGUGUCCUGACGCAGGCUUCC